Molecule: small RNA, 5576 nt
Filed under: Pongo abelii (Sumatran orangutan)
Lineage: Eukaryota; Metazoa; Chordata; Mammalia; Primates; Hominidae
Description: retained intron
Source: RNAcentral
GCUGCUGCAGCUGAGGUACGGCGGCGGUUUCUGAGGCACCUGACCGGCGACUGACGGAGCUGCGGUGGCGUCUCCACACUCAACCAUGAAGUUGAAGGACACGAAAUCAAGGCCAAAGCAGUCAAGCUAUGGCAAAUUUCAGACAAAGGGAAUCAAAGUUGUGGGAAAAUGGAAGGAAGUGAAGAUUGACCCAAAUAUGUUUGCAGAUGGACAGAUGGAUGACUUGGUGUGCUUUGAGGAAUUGACAGAUUACCAGUUGGUCUCCCCUGCCAAGAAUCCCUCCAGUCUCUUCUCAAAGGAAGCACCCAAGAGAAAGGCACAAGCUGUUUCAGAAGAAGAGGAGGAGGAGGAGGGAGAGUCUAGCUCACCAAAGAAAAAGAUCAAGUUGAAGAAAAGUAAAAAUGUAGCAACUGAAGGAACCAGUACCCAGAAAGAAUUUGAAGUCAAAGAUCCUGAGCUGGAGGCCCAGGGAGAUGGCAUGGUUUGUGAUGAUCCGGAGGCUGGGGAGAUGACAUCAGAAAACCUGGUCCAAACUGCUCCAAAAAAGAAGAAAAAUAAAGCGAAAAAAGGGUUGGAGCCUUCUCAGAGCACUGCUGCCAAGGUGCCCAAAAAAGCGAAGACGUGGAUUCCUGAAGUUCAUGAUCAGAAGGCAGAUGUGUCAGCUUGGAAGGACCUGUUUGUUCCCAGGCCGGUUCUCCGAGCACUCAGCUUUCUAGGCUUCUCUGCACCCACACCAAUCCAAGUCCUGACCUUGGCACCUGCCAUCCGUGACAAACUGGACAUCCUUGGGGCUGCUGAGACAGGAAGUGGGAAAACUCUUGCCUUUGCCAUCCCAAUGAUUCAUGCAGUGUUGCAGUGGCAGAAGAGGAAUGCUGCCCCUCCUCCAAGUAACACUGAAGCACCACCUGGGGAGACCAGACCUGAGGCCGGAGCUGAGACUAGAUCACCAGGCAAGGCUGAAGCUGAGUCUGAUGCAUUGCCUGAUGAUACUGUAAUUGAGAGUGAAGCACUGCCCAGUGAUACUGCAGCCGAGGCCAGAGCCAAGACUGGAGGCACUGUCUCAGACCAGGCGUUGCUCUUUGGUGAUGAUGAUGCUGGUGAAGGGCCUUCUUCCCUGAUCAGGGAGAAACCUGUUCCCAAACAGAAUGAGAAUGAGGAGGAAAAUCUUGAUAAAGAGCAGACUGGAAAUCUAAAACAAGAAUUGGAUGACAAAAGCGCCACCUGUAAGACAUAUCCAAAGCGUCCUCUGCUUGGACUGGUUCUGACUCCCACUCGAGAGCUGGCUGUCCAGGUCAAACAGCACAUUGAUGCUGUGGCCAGGUUUACAGGAAUUAAAACUGCUAUUUUGGUUGGUGGAAUGUCCACGCAGAAACAGCAGAGGAUGCUGAACCGUCGUCCUGAGAUUGUGGUUGCUACUCCAGGCCGGCUGUGGGAAUUAAUUAAAGAAAAGCAUUAUCAUUUGAGGAACCUUCGGCAGCUCAGGUGCCUGGUAGUGGAUGAGGCUGACCGGAUGGUUGAGAAAGGCCAUUUUGCUGAGCUCUCACAGCUGCUAGAGAUGCUCAAUGACUCCCAAUACAACCCAAAGAGACAAACGCUUGUUUUUUCUGCCACACUCACCCUGGUGCAUCAGGCUCCUGCUCGAAUCCUUCAUAAGAAGCACACCAAGAAAAUGGAUAAAACAGCCAAACUUGACCUCCUUAUGCAGAAAAUUGGCAUGAGGGGCAAGCCCAAGGUCAUUGACCUCACAAGGAAUGAGGCCACGGUGGAGACGCUAACAGAGACCAAGAUCCAUUGUGAGACUGAUGAGAAAGACUUCUACUUGUACUACUUCCUGAUGCAGUAUCCAGGCCGCAGCUUAGUGUUUGCCAACAGCAUCUCCUGUAUCAAACGCCUCUCUGGGCUCCUCAAAGUCCUUGAUAUCAUGCCCUUGACCCUACAUGCCUGUAUGCACCAGAAGCAGAGGCUCAGAAACCUGGAGCAGUUUGCCCGUCUGGAAGACUGUGUUCUCUUGGCAACAGAUGUGGCAGCUCGGGGUCUGGAUAUUCCUAAAGUCCAGCAUGUCAUCCAUUACCAGGUAGGGGCAUCUGAAAAUUUAUAGGCAUCUGCCUGCAUUGAAUGGGGAAUUUUUAAGGCAAAGGUUGGGGGAGGGAGGAGGAAUUGUUGGUUCCAAGGCUCUUGCAUCAGAGAAUACCACUGGCAUCGAGUGCCCACUACUCCCGCCUUUGGAACACUGCUGAGAUUUGAUCUCCAGAAAACCUUGCUUUGUCUCAUGUCAAGUAACCCUUCUCUCCAAGCUACUUGGUAUUGUCAGGUUAGAGUCUUAGUUUUUUCUGUGAAAUGGGCAUAAGUUAAGCAUGUAAUUGGUUACCCUGAUGUAGAGAAAUAUUAAUAGAAGAGUGUGGUAGUUUAGAUCUCUCUGGGCUCAAAUCGCAGCUGUGUAACCUUGAACAAGUCAUGUAGUCUCUCUGUAUCUCAGUUUUCUCAUGUAUUAAAUGGCAAUGAGUACCUGCUUCUUAGGGUUCUUAUUGAGGUAAAAUAAAUUACUAAGUAUAAAGAGCUUAAGAAGCCACCUGGCACAUUGCAAGCACUUAACUCAUGUUAACUGCCGUUGAUAGUAGCAGUAAUAUUAGUGUGUGCAUCUAGUGAAUAUCAGCAUAAAGUUGUGGUUAGGAGUAUGGGCACCGGAGCCAGACUGCCAGGCUUUGAAUCCCCAGUCUGCUGCUUCAUAGUUGGUUAGCUUUAGGCAAAUUAUUUAGUACCUCUGGUUUCAGUGUCAUUGUUUGUAAACUGGAAGUAACAACUAGCUACCCCAUAAGGGUCAUCCUGAGAAUUAAAUUGAGCUGAUGCUGAUGAAGCUGGUAGCACAGUGUAAGUACUCAAUAAAUGGUAGCUAGUAUGGCAUUAUUAUUUUUCCUCUUUAAUUCCUCUUUGUGCUUUUAAAAAUCUUUUAGGCUGCUGUUUCAGAGAAACAACAAACUCAAAGUGCUUUUUCCCAUUCUCUCACUUCACAACAACAAUCAACACAGAAGACUUCUGUAACCAAAUGUGUGGGUGUUCUUCACCACAUAUCAAGCAGCAGCCACCAGCUGGGUGUCCUCUAAUUUAGUUUCAUUUUCUGAUGCUGUCUUCCUGGAGAUAGCCUCAGAUCCCACAAGAUGUCCCUCCUCCCCGCAACCAGUCAAUAAGUCAGGGCCUCUGGAACUUCUGACCAACCAGCUUCAAGUUGAGGUUCUCAUGACCCUGCUUUGGGUUCAGUUAAUUUGCUACAGCAGCUCUCAGAACUAAAAGAAACACAUUUACCAGUUUAUUAUAGAGGAUAUUACAAAGAAUAUAGAUGGGGAGAUGUCUAGGCUGAGGUACAGGGGAAGGAGUAUGGAGUUGCCAUGCCCCUCCUGGGUACACCACCCUCCAGGAAUGUCCACAUAUUCAGCUUAUUCAAAAGUUCUCCAAACUCUGCCUUUAGGAAUAUUUAUGGAGACUUCAUUGGAUAAGAUGAUUGAUUAAGCCAUUGGCCUUUAGGAAGUAGUGCUGCAAGUCCCAACCUUCUAAUCCUGCCUUGGCCUUUCUGGUUACCAGCCCCCAUCCUGAAACUACCUAGGGGGCUAUCAGCCAUCAGUCAAUAGUUUGUCAUUAGCAUACAAAAAGACAUUACUUUUGAGAUUCCUUUGCCAGGAAACAGGAUGAAGAGCAAAUACAUAUUUCACUGUAUCACAGGUGCUAAUUUUGGUUUAGCAAAUCUCUAUAGUCUUCCCUUUUUUGGGGAAGGAGCUGGGUCAACCUUUGUGGAGUCAAGAUGAAUCAAAUACAGUCCCAGCCCCUAAGAAGUAUUGGAUCCAGCAGAGGAGGUGAGAUGACCACAGCCAUAAUUUAAGGCAGAAGGUAUUAGAAAAUUACAAAAUACAAUAGAAGAGAGAGGUAACUUCUAGUUUGGGAGGUUGGAAAGUACUUUCUAAAAACAUGCCUGGCAUUUAAGGGUGAAGAGGAUUUGGACAUGUAGAGGCAUUAAAGGAAGGAGCAAAGAAAUGGGCAGUGUUCAGGGGCACUUGGCUCAGAGUGAGAAGAGGGGAUGUGUUGGGAAAGGAAUAGUUGCUGAGGCUGGAGGGGUAAGUUGAGGGCAAGUCACUAAAGGCGCUGAGUGUCAGGUUGAAGAGUUGGGCCUUUAUCCUCUAAGUAAAAAAUGGCAAAUCUCAUUUCUAGAACUCUUAUGAACAGUUCAUAGUGGCUACUUAAAGUACUGUAUUGAAAAGGAUACCUAGAUGUUAUCUGGGCCCAGUGGAGAAGACUGUUGUGCUUGAUUAAUGGUGUGUGCCAGGGGCUCAGUGGGUGUGUCAGCAACCAUGCCACAUUGUUUAUGGAUAAUAUAUAUAUAGGAGUAGAGACCGUAUAACCCAGGGAUUAACAUGGUCUGUGGAGCUGGGCUGCUUAAAUCCUGGAUAAGAAGUGACUGCUGUGGUCUGGCUGCAUGGUCCUGAGGAACUGAACCAGGGUCAGGGGCACGGGAGGGAAGAGCCUGCACAGUGAAUGGGCUAAACCUGGGAAUAUUUUGAAUGUGGGACUAAGAGGAGGGCUAGAUUACUCUACAAUGCUGCCGAAGUUUCUACCUUCCUGGCUGGGAGGUAGGAGGGUCUGGUUUGGGGAUGUGGCCCUGAGGAGAAGACCAGUGUUUGGCAGUGGCCAUGUAUUGAUCUCCCAGUUCUUCCUGUGGCAGGUCCCACGUACCUCGGAGAUUUAUGUCCACCGAAGUGGUCGAACUGCUCGAGCUACCAAUGAAGGCCUCAGCCUGAUGCUCAUUGGGCCUGAGGAUGUGAUCAACUUUAAGAAGAUUUACAAAACCCUCAAGAAAGAUGAGGACAUCCCACUGUUCCCCGUGCAGACAAAAUACAUGGAUGUGGUCAAGGAGCGAAUCCGUUUAGCUCGACAGAUUGAGAAAUCUGAGUAUCGGAACUUCCAGGCUUGCCUGCACAACUCUUGGAUUGAGCAGGCAGCGGCUGCCCUGGAGAUUGAGCUGGAAGAAGACAUGUAUAAGGGAGGAAAAGCUGACCAGCAAGAAGAGCGUCGGAGACAAAAGCAGAUGAAGGUUCUGAAGAAGGAGCUGCGCCACCUGCUCUCCCAGCCGCUGUUUACAGAGAGCCAGAAAACCAAGUAUCCCACUCAGUCUGGCAAGCCGCCCCUGCUUGUGUCUGCCCCAAGUAAGAGUGAGUCUGCUUUGAGCUGUCUCUCCAAGCAGAGGAAGAAGAAGACCAAGAAGCCGAAGGAGCCGCAGCCGGAACAGCCACAGCCAAGUACAAGUGCAAAUUAACUGCCCUGGUCAAGUGCGUCAGUGACUGCACAUUGGUUUCUGUUCUCUGGCUAUUUGCAAAACCUCUCCCACCCUUGUGUUUCACUCCACCACCAACCCCAGGUAAAAAAGUCUCCCUCUCUUCCACUCACACCCAUAGCGGGAGAGACCUCAUGCAGAUUUGCAUUGUUUUGGAGUAAGAAUUCUAUGCAGCAGCUUAAUUUUUCUGUAUUGCAGUGUUUAUAGGCUUCUUGUGUGUUCAACUUUGAUUUCAUAAAUUAAAAACAAUGGUCAGAGC